CAUCCUUUUCCUUGACCCAACCACCAGGAAGUUCAAAGGCCAGAGCAAAAUGUGUUGUCUGUCCACAAAUGCAAAAGAAAAUUUAUUGUCGUAGUAUCAGAUAAUGUUCAGAAACAUUUGUGCAACAAAGAGAUGUAAAAAGUGGAUACUUGUGAUACACACCCCUGAAUCAGCUUGAUGACGAUAAUCACCUCCUUUAUAAACUGGCUUUGGUUCAGCUGGACGUGGCACAUUGGGUAGGUCGGAUAAAAGUGGUUCUGCAUAUUUUAACAGCUCUUCAUGGUCAACACCUGAUGCAGCAAGGACCAUCCGAGAAGCAGUAUAAUUUUCCUGUACAGUGAAAAUACCAUUCAGGAAAACAAACGACUGUUAAAUAUCAACAGAUGAGAAAUCGGAAGGGGUUAGAGUCCCAAACAGUACAUCAAUGAGAAUUAAGCAGAUGUCGGUUUUUACAUAUUUAUAUUAGAUAUGAACAUUAUACAUAUGUAGAGGGCAGACAGUGCUUGCUUCCUUCAAGAAACAUAGUUAACUACUAAAAUGAUUAGGUAAAAUAAUGGCAACCCACAUAGUCUAGAGUACAUCCCCUUUCCAGGACCACCAGCUGAGAAAGAUCCACCUCCUCCCAUAAGCAUCUACAUGAUCAAUACAAUCAGUAAUUCCUUACAAGACAGUAUCCAAACCAAAACAAAACCGUGAAAGAAACGAGAACGAUCAAUAUAGAACAAGCAAUCGUAUAUAUAGAUUCAUUUUAUAGAGGAAAGAAAUUUAAGCAAAUAACUUGUUCAGCCACGUUUCAAUCUGUAUUAAGUACAGUCGAUGUUGGGGUUAGAAUUACGAAAAAAAAUGUUAAACCUGAAGAACUGUCAAAACUAUAGCAUCCUUUUCCUUGACCCAACCACCAGGAAGUUCAAAGGCCAGAGCAAAAUGUGUUGUCUGUCCACAAAUGCAAAAGAAAAUUUAUUGUCGUAGUAUCAGAUAAUGUUCAGAAACAUUUGUGCAACAAAGAGAUGUAAAAAGUGGAUACUUGUGAUACACACCCCUGAAUCAGCUUGAUGACGAUAAUCACCUCCUUUAUAAACUGGCUUUGGUUCAGCUGGACGUGGCACAUUGGGUAGGUCGGAUAAAAGUGGUUCUGCAUAUUUUAACAGCUCUUCAUGGUCAACACCUGAUGCAGCAAGGACCAUCCGAGAAGCAGUAUAAUUUUCCUGUACAGUGAAAAUACCAUUCAGGAAAACAAACGACUGUUAAAUAUCAACAGAUGAGAAAUCGGAAGGGGUUAGAGUCCCAAACAGUAAAACAAUGAAAAAGUAAAGGAACAAAAAAUCAAUGAUGUAUGGGGCUCACAGCAAUGAACUCCUCCAAAACUGCACUGUUCAACCUGCUCACAGCAGAUUCCACUGCCAAAAGAGAAUUUCCAUACGGACCAGAGUAACCAGCUGAAUGAAUAGCCUCCAAAAGCAAGUGUUGAGGGUUUUUAGAGCAUUCACUAACCUCAGCGCUAACCUUAUGAAGCUGAAAUGGACAUUACUAUAUUUAUUCACACCCCCAAAACAGCCUAAAAAAUGAGCACUAACUCCCAUAUGAGAUAGAUGAACUAUACCUGCUCGCUAACCUCCCAAUCCAGAAAAGCAGGGUUCCUCACUGAGUCAAUGAGAAGCUCUAUCAUUUGAGGAACAUAGGUUUUUAGAGCAUCAUAGGUGUAACCCAUAUGUUCCCGAGAGGCUGAAGCCAUGACAUUGCCACCAAUUGCCUCAACUUCUCUAACAACACGCAAGUGGCUCCGAUUUGUUGUACUUUUGAAGGCCAUACGUUCCAGGAGGUGUGUGGCCCCAAAUGACGUCGGAGUUUCGACGAUAAUCACCUCCUUUAUAAACUGGCUUUGGUUCAGCUGGACGUGGCACAUUGGGUAGGUCGGAUAAAAGUGGUUCUGCAUAUUUUAACAGCUCUUCAUGGUCAACACCUGAUGCAGCAAGGACCAUCCGAGAAGCAGUAUAAUUUUC
This 2000-nucleotide long non-coding RNA is filed under the name Olea europaea (common olive). RNAcentral's name for it is "long non-coding RNA (OEUR_LNC000922)". The record is from RNAcentral. Lineage: Eukaryota; Viridiplantae; Streptophyta; Magnoliopsida; Lamiales; Oleaceae.